GAACGCUGGCGGCGUGCCUAAUACAUGCAAGUAGAACGCUGAAGAGAGGAGCUUGCUCUUCUUGGAUGAGUUGCGAACGGGUGAGUAACGCGUAGGUAACCUGCCUUGUAGCGGGGGAUAACUAUUGGAAACGAUAGCUAAUACCGCAUAACAAUGGAUGACACAUGUCAUUUAUUUGAAAGGGGCAAUUGCUCCACUACAAGAUGGACCUGCGUUGUAUUAGCUAGUAGGUGAGGUAAUGGCUCACCUAGGCGACGAUACAUAGCCGACCUGAGAGGGUGAUCGGCCACACUGGGACUGAGACACGGCCCAGACUCCUACGGGAGGCAGCAGUAGGGAAUCUUCGGCAAUGGGGGCAACCCUGACCGAGCAACGCCGCGUGAGUGAAGAAGGUUUUCGGAUCGUAAAGCUCUGUUGUAAGUCAAGAACGGGUGUGAGAGUGGAAAGUUCACACUAUGACGGUAGCUUACCAGAAAGGGACGGCUAACUACGUGCCAGCAGCCGCGGUAAUACGUAGGUCCCGAGCGUUGUCCGGAUUUAUUGGGCGUAAAGCGAGCGCAGGCGGUUUGAUAAGUCUGAAGUUAAAGGCUGUGGCUCAACCAUAGUUCGCUUUGGAAACUGUCAAACUUGAGUGCAGAAGGGGAGAGUGGAAUUCCAUGUGUAGCGGUGAAAUGCGUAGAUAUAUGGAGGAACACCGGUGGCGAAAGCGGCUCUCUGGUCUGUAACUGACGCUGAGGCUCGAAAGCGUGGGGAGCGAACAGGAUUAGAUACCCUGGUAGUCCACGCCGUAAACGAUGAGUGCUAGGUGUUGGAUCCUUUCCGGGAUUCAGUGCCGCAGCUAACGCAUUAAGCACUCCGCCUGGGGAGUACGACCGCAAGGUUGAAACUCAAAGGAAUUGACGGGGGCCCGCACAAGCGGUGGAGCAUGUGGUUUAAUUCGAAGCAACGCGAAGAACCUUACCAGGUCUUGACAUCCCGAUGCUAUUUCUAGAGAUAGAAAGUUACUUCGGUACAUCGGUGACAGGUGGUGCAUGGUUGUCGUCAGCUCGUGUCGUGAGAUGUUGGGUUAAGUCCCGCAACGAGCGCAACCCCUAUUGUUAGUUGCCAUCAUUCAGUUGGGCACUCUAGCGAGACUGCCGGUAAUAAACCGGAGGAAGGUGGGGAUGACGUCAAAUCAUCAUGCCCCUUAUGACCUGGGCUACACACGUGCUACAAUGGUUGGUACAACGAGUUGCGAGUCGGUGACGGCGAGCUAAUCUCUUAAAGCCAAUCUCAGUUCGGAUUGUAGGUUGCAACUCGCCUACAUGAAGUCGGAAUCGCUAGUAAUCGCGGAUCAGCACGCCGCGGUGAACACGUUCCCGGGCCUUGUACACACCGCCCGUCACACCACGAGAGUUUGUAACACCCGAAGUCGGUGAGGUAACCUUUUGGAGCCAGCCGCCUAAGGUGGGACAGAUGAUUGGGGUGAA
Molecule: ribosomal RNA, 1469 nt
Filed under: uncultured organism
Description: SSU rRNA
Rfam family: Bacterial small subunit ribosomal RNA
Source: RNAcentral